GACGAACGCUGGCGGCGGGCUUAACACAUGCAAGUCGAACGGAAAGGCCCUGCUUUUGUGGGGUGCUCGAGUGGCGAACGGGUGAGUAACACGUGAGUAACCUGCCCUUGACUUUGGGAUAACUUCAGGAAACUGGGGCUAAUACCGGAUAGGAGCUCCUGCUGCAUGGUGGGGGUUGGAAAGUUUCGGCGGUUGGGGAUGGACUCGCGGCUUAUCAGCUUGUUGGUGGGGUAGUGGCUUACCAAGGCUUUGACGGGUAGCCGGCCUGAGAGGGUGACCGGCCACAUUGGGACUGAGAUACGGACCAGACUCCUACGGGAGGCAGCAGUGGGGAAUAUUGCACAAUGGGCGGAAGCCGGAUGCAGCAACGCCGCGUGCGGGAUGACGGCCUUCGGGUUGUAAAACGCUUUCGCCUGUGACGACGCGUGAGUGACGGUAAUGGGUAAAGAAGCACCGGCUAACUACGUG
This 468-nucleotide ribosomal RNA is filed under the name uncultured bacterium. Its description in RNAcentral is "partial 16S ribosomal RNA". It matches the Rfam family "Bacterial small subunit ribosomal RNA", at positions 28 to 507 of the family's 1533-position model. The record is from RNAcentral.